This 509-nucleotide ribosomal RNA is filed under the name uncultured bacterium. RNAcentral describes it as "bacterial SSU rRNA". It matches the Rfam family "Bacterial small subunit ribosomal RNA", at positions 28 to 532 of the family's 1533-position model. The record is from RNAcentral.
GAUGAACGCUAGCGGCAGGCUUAACACAUGCAAGUCGAGGGGCAGCACGGGUAGCAAUACUUGGUGGCGACCGGCGCACGGGUGAGUAACGCGUAUGCAACCUACCUUCAACUGGGGGAUAGCCCAGGGAAACUUGGAUUAAUACCCCAUAGUAUUUAUGAAUCGCAUGGUUUAUAAAUUAAAGUUCCGGCGGUUGAAGAUGGGCAUGCGUGCCAUUAGUUAGUUGGUGAGGUAACGGCUCACCAAGACAGCGAUGGCUACGGGGUCUAAAAGGAUGGUCCCGCACACUGGUACUGAGACACGGACCAGACUCCUACGGGAGGCAGCAGUGAGGAAUAUUGGUCAAUGGGCGCAAGCCUGAACCAGCCAUGCCGCGUGCAGGAAGACGGCCCUAUGGGUUGUAAACUGCUUUUGUACGGGAAUAAUAACUCCGACGUGUCGGAGGACGAAGGUACCGUACGAAUAAGCAUCGGCUAACUCCGUGCCAGCAGCCGCGGUAAUGUAGACGU